This 1586-nucleotide ribosomal RNA is filed under the name metagenome. RNAcentral describes it as "bacterial LSU rRNA". It matches the Rfam family "Bacterial large subunit ribosomal RNA", at positions 1316 to 2925 of the family's 2925-position model. The record is from RNAcentral.
GCAAGGUGAGAAUCCUUGCGGCCGAAUAUCCAAGGUUUCCAGAGUAAAGCUGAUCUGCUCUGGGUAAGUCGGGGCCUAAGGAGAGGCAGAGAUGCGUAUCCGAUGGACAGCAGGUUUAAGAUUCCUGCACCCCUUGUUAUCAGAACUGCGGGGACACGGGAAGGGAAGCAGAGCCGGGAAUGGAAAGCCCGGUGCAAGCGAAGGAGUCGCAGGGUUGGAAAAUCCGCCCUGCAUAAGACGAAGGCGUGAUGCGGAGCGAAAUGAAGUAGUGAAGCUGCGGCCCCUUCCUGUCGAGAAAAGCCGCUAUCGUGUAGCAAGGGCCCGUACCGUAAACCGACACAGGUGGAUGAGGAGAGGAUCCUAAGGCCGGCGGGAGAAGUGUUGUUAAGGAACUCGGCAAAAUGACUCCGUAACUUCGGGAGAAGGAGUGCUGCGCAAGCAGCCGCAGAGAAAUGGUCCAAGCAACUGUUUAGCAAAAACACAGGUCUAUGCGAAACCGAAAGGUGAGGUAUAUGGGCUGACGCCUGCCCGGUGCUGGAAGGUUAAGGGGAGAGCUUAGCGCGAGCGAAGGUUUGAACUUAAGCCCCAGUAAACGGCGGCCGUAACGAUAACGGUCCUAAGGUAGCGAAAUUCCUUGUCGGGUAAGUUCCGACCCGCACGAAAGGCGUAAUGAUUUGGGCACUGUCUCAACAACACACCCGGUGAAAUUGAAAUACCAGUGAAGAUGCUGGUUACCCGCGCCAGGACGGAAAGACCCCAUGGAGCUUUACUCCAGCCUGAUACUGGGAUUCGGUAUUGCAUGUACAGGAUAGGUGGGAGGCUAAGAACUCAUGGCGCCAGCCGUGAGGGAGCCGAUGUUGGGAUACCACCCCUGCAGUACUGGGUUUCUAACCUGCGCCCGUGACCCGGGCGGGGGACAAUGUCAGGCGGGGAGUUUGACUGGGGCGGUCGCCUCCGAAAGGGUAUCGGAGGCGCUCAAAGGUCUCCUCAGGAUGGUUGGAAACCAUCCAGAGAGUGCAAAGGCAGAAGGAGGCUUGACUGCGACACCGACGGGUGGAGCAGGUACGAAAGUAGGACUUAGUGAUCCGGUGGCAUAAAGUGGGAUUGCCAUCGCUCAAGGGAUAAAAGCUACCCUGGAUAACAGGCUUAUCACUCCCAAGAGUUCACAUCGACGGAGUGGUUUGGCACCUCGAUGUCGGCUCAUCGCAUCCUGGAGCUGGAGCAGGUUCCAAGGGUUGGGCUGUUCGCCCAUUAAAGCGGUACGCGAGCUGGGUUCAGAACGUCGUGAGACAGUUCGGUCCCUAUCCGGCGCGGGCGCAGGAUAUCUGAGAGGAGCUGUCCUUAGUACGAGAGGACCGGGAUGGACCGUCCGCUGGUGGACCGGUUGUCAUGCCAAUGGCACGGCCGGGUAGCCAAGACGGGAAGGGAUAAACGCUGAAGGCAUCUAAGCGUGAAGCCCCCCUCAAGAUGAGAUAUCCAUACUCGAAAGAGUGAGAGGCCCCUUAAAGACGAUGAGGUAGAUAGGGCAGGGAUGGAAGUGCAGCGAUGCAUGGAGUUGACUGUUACUAAUCGGUCGAAAGCUUGAC